Molecule: long non-coding RNA, 3122 nt
Filed under: Anthonomus grandis grandis
Lineage: Eukaryota; Metazoa; Arthropoda; Insecta; Coleoptera; Curculionidae
Description: uncharacterized LOC126745015
Source: RNAcentral
UAGUAUUUUAUAUGAUUUUUUUUUACUAAUAAAUAAUUAGAAACACAUUUAAGUAAAAAAAUUAUAUAAAUUAUAUAAUAACAAUAAAUGACAAAGAAUAUAACAAACAAGGUACAACAUAAACCUAAAAACAAUUUCAGCACUUGAAGUUUUUUAAAUCUAAAUAAAAUAACAGACCUAUCUAGGAAGGGGUCAAGAUUAAGCACAUUGAAUGGUACAGUUCUCAAAAUAUCAGGGCAAUAAACAAUUUAAUUUGAUAUAAUCUAAAAUGAUCACUUGUGUUACUAAGUCUAACAACAUUAACAUCAACUUUCAACAUAGUUUGUCCAAUUUAGUCUCAUGUUCAUGUUAUCAUUAUGAGGUGUUCACAGCUGCAUACAGUGAAUCUACAGGAAAGGUCCAAGAACUGUAGUAAAUAAAUAAAAUAAAAAUUUUCAUUAUCCUGUCAUAUCAUGUUGAAAAACAGGAAUUUUGCAGAAGAAUUUUUUACUGGAUCACUUGUGUUACUUUAGUGCCUUGACUAUAUAAGAUAAAAAAAACGAUCACCUAUGAGAAUUCAUGCCACCUAAAUUGUUAGCAAGUAUGUAGUUGAAUCUGCAAAGUCUUUAGGACAAAAAUAAGUCUAACAACAUUUACAUCAACUUUCAACAUAGUUUGUCCAAUUUAGUGUCAUGUUCAUGUUAUCAUUAUGAAGUGUUCACCUCUGCAUACAGUGAAUCUACAGGAAAGGUCCAAGAACUGUAGUAAAUAAAUAAAAAAAAAAUGUUCAUUAUCCUGUCGUAUCAUGUUGAAAAACAGGAAUUUUGCAGAAGAAUUUUUUACUGGUAAGUUGUUUGGGGUGGGUGGGGGGUGUAAGGGUAGUGUUGAUGAAAAACGUUUUUUUUGCAUAAAAUAAUUACUUUGAAAAAAUAAUUUACUCUCUCAGGUUACAGAAAAUUAACUAUAACUUAUAUUAUUCUUUAUUUCGAAUUACUUAUACACAGAUUUGUAUAGUUUUUAUUAAAACAAUCUUUUUGAAUGGUAUUUUUUAAAUUUUCUUAAUAAAUUACGAAGUUUUUCCUCUAAGGUAAUUAUUUUCUGGCGUAAAAACCCCUUUUUCAUUAAUCCUACCACCAACAAAUAGCUCUACAUCUAGAUCAAAACCUGUUAAGCCUGAAUAGCACAGAAAUCCACUUUAUAUAUUUUUCUAUUUAUAAUAUAAGACAAUUGGAACCAUCUGAGAUCACAAUAAUUCAUAAUAAUGGCUGCCUUGUUAACCAACUGGUGGAUUGUAAUUGUAAUUCUAGGAUCACUUGUGUUACUUUAGUGCCUUGACUAUAUAAGAUAAAAAAAAAACGAUCACCUAUGAGAAUUCAUGCCACCUAAAUUGUUAGCAAGUAUGUAGUUGAAUCUGCAAAGUCUUUAGGACAAAAAUAAGUCUAACAACAUUUACAUCAACUUUCAACAUAGUUUGUCCAAUUUAGUGUCAUGUUCAUGUUAUCAUUAUGAAGUGUUCACAGCUGCAUACAGUGAAUCUACAAGAAAGGUCCAAGAACUGUAGUAAAUAAAUAAAAAAAAAAUGUUCAUUAUCCUGUCGUAUCAUGUUGAAAAACAGGAAUUUUGCAGAAGAAUUUUUUACUGGUAAGUUGUUUGGGGUGGGUGGGGGGUGUAAGGGUAGUGUUGAUGAAAAACGUUUUUUUUUGCAUAAAAUAAUUACCUUAAAAAAAUAAUUUACUCUCUCAGGUUACAGAAAAUUAACUAUAACUUAUAUUAUUCUUUAUUUUUAAUCACUUAUACACAGAUUUGUAUAGUUUUUAUUAAAACAAUCUUUUUGAAUGGUAUUUUUUAAAUUUUCUUAAUAAAUUACGAAGUUUUUCCUCUAAGGUAAUUAUUUUCUGGCGUAAAAACCCCUUUUUCAUUAACCCUACCACCAACAAAUAGCUCUACAUCUAGAUCAAAACUUGUUAAGCCUGAAUAGCACAGAAAUCCACUUUAUAUAUUUUUUUAUUUAUAAUAUAAAACAAUUGGAACCAUCUGAGAUCACAAUAAUUCAUAAUAAUGGCUGUCUUGUUAACCAACUGGUGGAUUGUAAUUGUAAUUCUAGGAUCACUUGUGUUACUUUAGUGCCUUGACUAUAUAAGAUAAAAAAAAAACGAUCACCUAUGAGAAUUCAUGCCACCUAAAUUGUUAGCAAGUAUGUAGUUGAAUCUGCAAAGUCUUUAGGACAAAAAUAAGUCUAACAGCAUUUACAUCAACUUUUAACAUAGUUUGUCCAAUUUAGUCUCAUGUUCAUGUUAUCAUUAUGAAGUGUUCACCUCUGCAUACAGUGAAUCUACAGGAAAGGUCCAAGAACUGUAGUAAAUAAAUUUAAAAAAAAUGUUCAUUAUCCUGUCAUAUCAUGUUGAAAAACAGGAAUUUUGCAGAAGAAUUUUUUACUGAUCACCUGUUGAAACCUGUUGAGCCUGAAUAGCACAGAAAUCCACUUUAUACAUUUUUCUAUUUAUAAUAUAAAACAAUUGGAACCAUCUGAAAUCACAAUUCAUAAUAAUGACUGCCUUGUAAACCAAAUGGUGGAUUGUAAUUGUAAUUCUAGGAUCACUUGUGUUACUUUAGUGCCUUGACUAUUGUCAGAAAUAUAGAAAAAUAAAACCCAACUUUAAAAAAAAAUAACUAUUUUAAUUACAAUUUAAGAUUUAAAAAUAAAAUGAACAAAAGCAAACAAAAUAUAAAAGUCACCGGGAUCGACUUAAAAUUUCAAUAGUCAAAGCCUUACCUAUUUGCUUUUCCCAAAUUAUGCUGAGAUCGAUAUUCCCUUUCAUAAUAUAACGUUGACCUGGACCACGAUGACGACGGUACCAAGCCAGGCUAUAUGCACGUGAUCCUUAUUCGGCAUAUUUCUUACACUAUAUAAGAUAAAAAAAAUGAUUCAUAAUUUCUAUCGACUACAAGCCUUCAUGCCAAUUAAAUUGUUAUCAAGUAUUUAGGACAAAACUAAGUCUAACAACAUUUACAUCAACUUUCAACAUAGUUUGUCCAAUUCUGUCUCAUCUUCUGCAUACAUUGAACCUACAGGAAAUGUCCAAGAACUGUAUGUAGUAAAUAAAUACACACAUUUUCAUUAUCCUCAUAUUUAUUAUAUUUAU